RNAcentral lists this ribosomal RNA (255 nucleotides) under uncultured bacterium. RNAcentral describes it as "partial 16S ribosomal RNA". It matches the Rfam family "Bacterial small subunit ribosomal RNA", at positions 524 to 776 of the family's 1533-position model. The record is from RNAcentral.
UACAGAGGGUGCAAGCGUUGUUCGGAAUUAUUGGGCGUAAAGGGCGCGUAGGCGGUUCGGCAAGUCUUCAGUGAAAUCUCUGGGCUCAACUCAGAGUCUGCUGGGGAAACUGCCGGGCUUGAGUGUGGGAGAGGAGAGUGGAAUUCCUGGUGUAGCGGUGAAAUGCGUAGAUAUCAGGAGGAACACCUGAGGCGAAAAGCGGCUCUCUGGACCACAACUGACGCUGAGGCGCGAAAAGCUAGGGGAGCGAACAGG